AUCCUACGGGAGGCAGCAGUGGGGAAUUUUCUGCAAUGGGCGAAAGCCUGACAGAGCAAUACCGCGUGAGGGAUGACAGCCCUAUGGGUUGUAAACCUCUUUUUUCAGGGAGGAAGUUCUGACGUUACCUGAAGAAUAAGCAUCGGCUAACUCCGUGCCAGCAGCCGCGGUAAUAAU
RNAcentral lists this ribosomal RNA (177 nucleotides) under uncultured bacterium. RNAcentral describes it as "partial 16S ribosomal RNA". It matches the Rfam family "Bacterial small subunit ribosomal RNA", at positions 335 to 526 of the family's 1533-position model. The record is from RNAcentral.